UUGCCUCAGUAACGGCGAGUGAAGCGGCAAUAGCUCAAAUUUGAAAUCUGGCUCUUUCAGGGUCCGAGUUGUAAUUUGCAGAGGGCGCUUUGGAGUCGACAGCAGCCUAAGUUCCUUGGAACAGGUCAUCAUAGAGGGUGAGAAUCCCGUAUGUGGCUGCUUGCCUUCGCCGUGUAAAGCCCCUUCGAUGAGUCGAGUUGUUUGGGAAUGCAGCUCUAAAUGGGAGGUAAAUUUCUUCUAAAGCUAAAUAUUGGCCAGAGACCGAUAGCGCACAAGUAGAGUGAUCGAAAGAUGAAAAGCACUUUGGAAAGAGAGUCAAAAAGCACGUGAAAUUGUUGAAAGGGAAGCGCUUGCAGCCAGACGUGCCCGUAGUUGCUCAUCUGGGGUUCUCCCCAGUGCACUCUUCUAUGGGCAGGCCAGCAUCAGUCCGGGCGGUUGGAGAAAGACCUGUGUCACGUAGCUCUCUUCGGGGAGUGUUAUAGGGCAGGUGGAAUGCAACCAGCCUGGACUGAGGUCCGCGCAUCUGCUAGGAUGCUGGCGUAAUGGCUGUAAGCGGCCCGUCUUGAAACACGGACCAAGGAGUCUAACAUCUAUGCGAGUGUUUGGGUGUCAAGCCCGAGCGCGUAAUGAAAGUGAACGGAGGUGGGAACCCCUCGGGGUGCACCAUCGACCGAUCCUGAUGUCUUCGGAUGGAUUUGAGUAAGAGCAUAGCUGUUGGGACCCGAAAGAUGGUGAACUAUGCCUGAAUAGGGUGAAGCCAGAGGAAACUCUGGUGGAGGCUCGCAGCGGUUCUGACGUGCAAAUCGAUCGUCAAAUUUGGGCAUAGGGGCGAAAGACUAAUCGAACUAUCUAGUAGCUGGUUCCUGCCGAAGUUUCCCUCAGGAUAGCAGUAACGUUUUCAGUUUUAUGAGGUAAAGCGAAUGAUUAGAGGCCUGGGGGUUGAAACAACCUUCACCUAUUCUCAAACUUUAAAUAUGUAAGAAGUCCUUGUUUCUUAAUUGAACGUGGACAUU
This 1013-nucleotide ribosomal RNA is filed under the name Petrakia sp. RNAcentral describes it as "partial 28S ribosomal RNA". It matches the Rfam family "Eukaryotic large subunit ribosomal RNA", at positions 75 to 1109 of the family's 3401-position model. Lineage: Eukaryota; Fungi; Ascomycota; Dothideomycetes; Pleosporales; Melanommataceae. The record is from RNAcentral.